This 253-nucleotide ribosomal RNA is filed under the name uncultured bacterium. Its description in RNAcentral is "partial 16S ribosomal RNA". It matches the Rfam family "Bacterial small subunit ribosomal RNA", at positions 524 to 776 of the family's 1533-position model. The record is from RNAcentral.
UACAGAGACCUCAAACAUUGUCCGGAUUCAUUGGGCGUAAAGCGUCCGCAGGUGGCUUAGCAAGUUAAGGGUUAAAUCUUCUGACCUAAUCAGAAAACUGCCUUUAAUACUGCUAAGCUCGAGGUUGGGAGAGGCAUAUGGAACUGCCGGUGUAGUAGUAAAAUGCGUUGAUAUCGGCAGGAACACCAAAGGCGAAGGCAAUAUGCUGGAACAACUCUGACACUCAGGGACGAAAGCGUGGGGAGCGAAUGGG